Molecule: ribosomal RNA, 253 nt
Filed under: uncultured bacterium
Lineage: Bacteria
Description: partial 16S ribosomal RNA
Rfam family: Bacterial small subunit ribosomal RNA
Source: RNAcentral
CACGUACUGGGCGAGCGUUAUUCGGAAUCACUGGGCUUACAGGGUGCGUAGGCGGCCGGCCAGGUCGGGUGUGAAAGGCCUUAGCUCAACUAAGGCAUAGCGCCCGAAACCGUUCGGCUCGAGUCAGCUAGGGGCACGCGGAACUUCCGGUGGAGCGGUGAAAUGUGUUGAUAUCGGAAGGAACGCCGGUGGCGAAAGCGGCGUGCUGGGGCUGAACUGACGCUGAGGCACGAAAGCCAGGGGAGCGAACGGG